This is a small nuclear RNA of Nyctereutes procyonoides (raccoon dog), 104 nucleotides long. NCBI's taxonomy places the organism in Eukaryota, Metazoa, Chordata, Mammalia, Carnivora, Canidae. The record is from RefSeq and is a predicted model, not a curated record.
GUGCUUGCUUCAGCAGCACAUAUACUGAAAUUGGAACAAUACAGAGAUUAGCAUGGUCUAUGUGCAUGGAUGACCCACAAAUUCAUGAAGUCUUACAUAUAUUU